This 497-nucleotide ribosomal RNA is filed under the name uncultured bacterium. RNAcentral's name for it is "partial 16S ribosomal RNA". It matches the Rfam family "Bacterial small subunit ribosomal RNA", at positions 28 to 507 of the family's 1533-position model. The record is from RNAcentral.
GAUGAACGCUGGCGGCGUGCCUAAUACAUGCAAGUCGAGCGAACAGACGAGGAGCUUGCUCCUCUGACGUUAGCGGCGGACGGGUGAGUAACACGUGGAUAACCUACCUAUAAGACUGGGAUAACUUCGGGAAACCGGAGCUAAUACCGUAUAAUAUAUUGAACCGCAUGGUUCAAUAGUGAAAGACGGUUUUGCUGUCACUUAUAGAUGGAUCCGCGCCGCAUUAGCUAGUUGGUAAGUUAACGGCUUACCAAGGCAACGAUGCGUAGCCGACCUGAGAGGGUGAUCGGCCACACUGGAACUGAGACACGGUCCAGACUCCUACGGGAGGCAGCAGUAGGGAAUCGUCCGCAAUGGGCGAAAGCCUGACGGAGCAACGCCGCGUGAGUGAUGAAGGUCUUCGGAUCGUAAAACUCUGUUAUUAGGGAAGAACAAAUGUGUAAGUAACUAUGCACGUCUUGACGGUACCUAAUCAGAAAGCCACGGCUAACUACGUG